CGCGUAGGCGGUGCGGUAAGUCACUUGUGAAAUCUCCCGGCUCAACUGGGAGCCUGCAGGCGAAACUGCCGUGCUGGAGUAUGGGAGAGGUGCGUGGAAUUCCCGGUGUAGCAGUGAAAUGCGUAGAUAUCGGGAGGAACACCUGUGGCGAAAGCGGCGCACUGGACCAUAACUGACGCUGAGGCGCGAAAGCUAGGGGAGCAAACAGGAUUAGAUACCCUGGUAGUCCUAGCCCUAAACGAUGAUGGCUUGGUGUGAUCGGUACCCAAUCCGAUUGUGCCGCAGCUAACGCGAUAAGCCAUCCGCCUGGGGAGUACGGUCGCAAGGCUGAA
RNAcentral lists this ribosomal RNA (332 nucleotides) under uncultured bacterium. Its description in RNAcentral is "bacterial SSU rRNA". It matches the Rfam family "Bacterial small subunit ribosomal RNA", at positions 568 to 898 of the family's 1533-position model. The record is from RNAcentral.